UAACGCGUGGGUAACCUGCCCUUUUGUGGGGAACAACUUCGAGAAAUCGGAGCUAAUACCGCAUAAUAAUAGAGGAUCGCAUGAUUCUUUAAGGAAAGAUGGCCUCUGAAGAUGCUAUCGCAAAAGGAUGGACCCGCGUCUGAUUAGCUAGUUGGAAGGGUAACGGCCUACCAAGGCAACGAUCAGUAGCCGGCCUGAGAGGGUGAACGGCCACAUUGGGACUGAGACACGGCCCAAACUCCUACGGGAGGCAGCAGUGGGGAAUCUUCCGCAAUGGGCGAAAGCCUGACGGAGCAAUGCCGCGUGAGUGAAGAAGGCCUUCGGGUUGUAAAACUCUGUCCUUAUCGAAGAGAGGUAGGUAUGUGAAUAAUGUACCUAUAGGACGGUAGAUAAGGAGGAAGCCCCGGCUAACUACGUGCCAGCAGCCGCGGUAAUACGUAGGGGGCGAGCGUUGUCCGGAAUCACUGGGCGUAAAGGGCGCGUAGGCGGUUUAAUAAGUCAGUGGUGAAAACUGAGGGCUCAACCCUCAGCCUGCCACUGAUACUGUUAGACUUGAGUAUGGAAGAGGAGAAUGGAAUUCCUAGUGUAGCGGUGAAAUGCGUANAUAUUAGGAGGAACACCAGUGGCGAAGGCGAUUCUCUGGGCCAAGACUGACGCUGAGGCGCGAAAGCGUGGGGAGCAAACAGGAUUAGAUACCCUGGUAGU
RNAcentral lists this ribosomal RNA (705 nucleotides) under uncultured bacterium. Its description in RNAcentral is "bacterial SSU rRNA". It matches the Rfam family "Bacterial small subunit ribosomal RNA", at positions 111 to 794 of the family's 1533-position model. The record is from RNAcentral.